GAUGAACGCCGGCGGUGUGCCUAAUACAUGCAAGUCGAACGCGUUGGCCUAAUUGAUUGAUGGUGCUUGCACCUGAUUGAUUUUGGUCGCCAACGAGUGGCGGACGGGUGAGUAACACGUAGGUAACCUGCCCAGAAGCGGGGGACAACAUUUGGAAACAGAUGCUAAUACCGCAUAACAGCGUUGUUCGCAUGAACAACGCUUAAAAGAUGGCUUCUCGCUAUCACUUCUGGAUGGACCUGCGGUGCAUUAGCUUGUUGGUGGGGUAACGGCCUACCAAGGCGAUGAUGCAUAGCCGAGUUGAGAGACUGAUCGGCCACAAUGGGACUGAGACACGGCCCAUACUCCUACGGGAGGCAGCAGUAGGGAAUCUUCCACAAUGGGCGCAAGCCUGAUGGAGCAACACCGCGUGAGUGAAGAAGGGUUUCGGCUCGUAAAGCUCUGUUGUUAAAGAAGAACACGUAUGAGAGUAACUGUUCAUACGUUGACGGUAUUUAACCAGAAAGUCACGGCUAACUACGUGC
RNAcentral lists this ribosomal RNA (524 nucleotides) under uncultured bacterium. Its description in RNAcentral is "partial 16S ribosomal RNA". It matches the Rfam family "Bacterial small subunit ribosomal RNA", at positions 28 to 508 of the family's 1533-position model. The record is from RNAcentral.